RNAcentral lists this transfer RNA (74 nucleotides) under Aedes aegypti (yellow fever mosquito). It matches the Rfam family "tRNA". From Rfam's summary of the family: Transfer RNA (tRNA) molecules are approximately 80 nucleotides in length. Their secondary structure includes four short double-helical elements and three loops (D, anti-codon, and T loops). Further hydrogen bonds mediate the characteristic L-shaped molecular structure. tRNAs have two regions of fundamental functional importance: the anti-codon, which is responsible for specific mRNA codon recognition, and the 3' end, to which the tRNAs corresponding amino acid is attached (by aminoacyl-tRNA synthetases). tRNAs cope with the degeneracy of the genetic code in two manners: having more than one tRNA (with a specific anti-codon) for a particular amino acid; and 'wobble' base-pairing, i.e. permitting non-standard base-pairing at the 3rd anti-codon position. Lineage: Eukaryota; Metazoa; Arthropoda; Insecta; Diptera; Culicidae. The record is from Rfam by way of RNAcentral.
CCUCUCAUGGCGUAGUGGUUAACGCGCCCCAACUAGAGAUCCGGAAGUCGUGAGUUCGAUUCUCACUGAGAAGA